CUUCCUCUGUCCGUAAAUACUUGUCAUAGGAAUUAAUGUAUUAGAUCCUUUUUUAUUAAUUUGUGCGACGAGUAAUUCCGGAGGGAGUAGUUUUUAUAGUUUAGUUGGGGGAAUGAUGUACAGAACCAGAUGACGAGGGUUGCCCAAAUGCAAUCCUACCAUGAUGCGGACUGAAAUUUCAUUGAGGUCAAAUACAUUUGCUGCUGAUGGUUCUUCACAACCCCGCAUAUUUUGAAUGCCAUGCUUUUCUUGGUAAAUUGUUUUGUGAACCUUGUUGCAUUGCAUAUGAAUUACCUUGUUUUCUGUUGAUAAUUAUGUCUGCAGUGCGUGCUCUGUAGAUGCAAAGGCUAUGAUGAGAAAAGUCAUGCACCACUCUGAGGAGAUUUACCUCCUUGUGCUGAUAAACAAACUUACAACCCAUUUUACAUCUGAGCCUCCUCACAUUUUUGUAUUUUCUGAUUUAUUUAGACGUAUGUCAAAUUGGUUUUUGAGAAACCAAAUAGUUAAGGUAAUAACUGGAUUGGUGGGAUAAUAUCGGAACCAGAUGAUGAGGGUCGCCUAUUGGUGAUCCUACCAUGAUGCGGACUGAAUUAACAUUGAGGUCAAGUACAUUUGCCGCUGAUGGUUCUUUUUCCAAUCCCCCCAUAUCUUGAAUUGAUUUUCUCCUUGGUUUUUGAAUGUUGUUGUUGGCUAUGAUGAGAAAAGUCAUGCACCACUCUGAAGAGAUUUAUCUCUUUGUGCUGAUAAACAAACUUACAACCCAUUUUACUUCUGAGCCGUCUCAUGACUUUUGUAUUUUUCUGAUCUGUUUAUUGGUUUUUAGAAAAUGUUUCCAGCUUUUGCCUUUGUCAGAAUACUGUGGUUUUGAAAGAUAAGUCUUGCUGUUAACUGGAUUGGACGAAUAAUGUAGAGAACCAGAUGAUGAGGGUUGCUCUAGCGAUCCUACCAUGAUGCGGACUGAGUUACAUUGAUGUCAAAACAUUUGCCGCUGAUGGUUCAUCUUUAAUGUUUUUUGUCAUCCCUAUUUUCAGUGUUUUGGAAGGAGUGCCCUUGUAUCUGAAUUACUUAAGGUUNAACCCUCAAAUCCAUGAACGUUGAUUAUAUAGCACAAAUCCAUCAUCAGUCUAACAAUUCAACAAUGCAACAUAGAGCAAAGCGAACCACACUUUCAAAGUCGAAACAUGUGAAAACUGAAAUUCAACUUCCGAAUUGUGUCCCGCCGUUGGAGUCAGUUUAGCAGUUCAACAUGAUGAAUAAAAAAUGUAGAGGCAAUGUUGUCAUGCUGGUGUCACCAACUGAUGGAGCCGAUGAGAUUGCCAAAUCAUAAGCCUUGUACUAGUUAAUUGGUUAAAAGUUGUGUUACGCAAAACAUGUUUCAAACGAGCUUCUAUUAUUUUGAGAAAACUAAUUAUGCACAUGUGUUGACAUGUGCAGAUGAAUUUGUAAAUUGUAUCGAGCCUGAACAUUGUUUGAGAGCAACGAUGGUAGCAUGCAUCUACAUAGAAUGGUACCAUAUUUUAGGAGAAUGGCAGCAUCCAUACCGUGCUUCAUCUAUCUUGUAUUCGCUUCAAGAAAUAUCAGGAAAAUAUACAAGUUAACUAAAAUAGCUCAAUAAUAAUAAUAAUAUGGGCCACAAUAUGUGUGAUAGGUCUUUGGAAGGUCCUCCCAUCUAAAAAUGCAUUGUGAAUUUUUUUUGAAAAAUCAACUCCACGCCCUUUGAUCAAAUUUAUAUAAAAUGUUCAUCACCAAUAUUUAAUCUUGAAGAUGUUUUAAAAUCCUUCGAUUGUUCAUACAAAUUUUGCAAACUCACAUCGUUUUUUAGUCUAUUUAUAUUGAGGUACUCCCUCGUUCUUAAAUAUAAGUCUUUUAAGAGAUUUUACUAAAGGUCUACAUACGAAGCAAAAUAAAUAAAUCUAUAUACUUUAAAAUAUCUCUAUAUACAUUCGUAUGUAGUUUACUAGUGGAACCUCUAGAAAGACUUAUAAUUAGGAACGAAACGAGUAUUUUUUAAGAGUUUGGACUUUUUUUGUUAUGGUUCUGUAUUGGGCUAACUUACCUUGGCCCAUGGGGCUAUUUCGGCCCUUUUCCUCUAGGGUUAGCCGGUUAGGUCAAGGUCUCUCAUCCUUUCCCCACCCCACCUCUAUUAAUACCCGCCGCCGCCGAUUCCAUCUCCAUCACCUCAUCCCGCCGGCGAUUGCUCCCCACCACCCAACCCUAGAUCCAUAGACCCGGCGGCGGCGGCCAGGCCAAGAUGGUGUGCAUCCGGCAGGCGACGAUCGACGACCUGCUGGCGAUGCAGGCGUGCAACCUGAUGUGCCUGCCGGAGAACUACCAGAUGAAGUACUACUUCUACCACAUGCUCUCGUGGCCGCAGCUGCUGUUCGUCGCCGAGGACUACGGCGGCCGCAUCGUCGGCUACGUGCUGGCCAAGAUGGAGGAGGACCCCUCGGAGCCCUGCCACGGCCACAUCACCUCCCUCGCCGUCCUCCGCUCCCACCGCAAGCUCGGCCUCGCCACCAAGCUCAUGUCGGCCGCCCAGGCCGCCAUGGACCAGGUCUUCGGCGCCGAGUACGUCUCCCUCCACGUCCGACGCUCCAACCGCGCCGCCUUCAACCUCUACACCUCCACCCUCGGCUACCAGAUCCACGACAUCGAGGCCAAGUACUACGCCGACGGCGAGGACGCCUACGACAUGCGCAAGAUGCUCCGCCAGCCCGUGCCCAAGAAGCACCAUCAUCACCACCACGCAGGCGGCGGCUGCUGCUCUCAUGACGCCCUUCCUGCGCCGGCCGGAUCGUCCCCGACUACCGCUUCGCCGGAGAAGAAGGCCGACUCAUAAGAGGGUAUGCUGCUGCCGCCUCAUCGAUCUGUUACUUUUUGUAUAAUAAACUGCGGUAAUUCGAUACUUGUUGUUACUUAGAAUCAACGAUUUCCUGCAACUUAGUCGCGAUUUUGCUAGGGAAAUUAUCAUAGCCAAAUCUCGCUGUUGGAUCUUGUGUAUGCGGCGCCUCUCUCACCUUUGGCUUCUUGAGAUUGACCUUUCUCAAAGUUGCCCAGUCAUGGAGGCGCACAGUGAUCACUGGCCGGUUUAACGUGGUUGCUAGCAGUUUGUUGCUAUGCUUCCAAAAUCUCUCGCCACAUCUGCUUUAACCAUAACAAGUUACAGAUUAGAUCUCGUGCGGUUUGAUGAACAUAAGUUAGUUCUGACCUCUUGCUUGCCGGAGCUAUAACGUGCUCCGGUGCCUCUCUCACCUUUGGCAUCUUGAGAUUGUUCUUUCUCAAAGUUGCCCAGUCAUAGUGGCACAUAGUGAUUCCUGGUGGGUUUAACGUGGGAGGUAGCUGUUUAUGGUUAUGCUUCCAAAAUCUCUCGCUACAUCUGUUUAUUAGAACACUCUUUUGAACUGCUGUGGAUUGUUCUGAACCUUGUGCUGCCUACUGUCUGAAGAACAUAUUUCCGUCCAUUGCCUCUUAAUCAUAGUGGUUAUAUUACUAUACCUGAGUUUAGUCAGUGAUGAUCAUGUCUGCAAAAUGUAUGCUCUGUGGAUUCAAGCCCCUGUUUCAGGGAGAACCUCUUGAUGAAGCAGAUGUAAUUUGACAUUAAUUGACAAAUCUGAGACAUUGUUGAAUAUUGUUUCAUGCUGCCUAGUUAAUUUUAGUAGUACGAUUGUAUUGAUUUGAUUUCUGGUUUAGAAACAGUCUUUUGCUGCAUGAUAGCUUGAUUAUUGUUUGCUUAAGUUCUGCCAUUGAUGAUUCUGUCUGCAAAAUGUAUGGUCUGUGGAUUCAAGCCCCUGUUUCAGGGAGAACCUCUUGAUGAAGCAGAUAUAAUGUGACAUCAAUUGACAGCUCUGAGGCAAUUUAUAGCAUUGUUCUGCUUACUGCCUUGUCAUUUUAGUAGGUAGGAUGUAUUGAGGUGACUUUUGAUUUUGCAACUGUCUCUUUUACUUGAUACCUUAACCGUUGUUUGCUUAAGUUUUGACAAUGAUGAUUCUGUCUGCAAAAUAGAUGCUCUGUGGAUUCAAGCCCCUGUUUCAGGGAGAACCUCUUGAUGAAGCAGAUAUAAUAUGACAUCAGUUGACAAAUCUGAGACAAUAUUAUGAUAUAUUGCUGCUUGGUGUCUAGUGACUUUUAUUAUUCAUGGUUUUCCAAUGAUGAUUCUGUCUGCAAAAUGGAUGCCCUGUGGACUCAAGCCCCUUUUUCAGGGAGAACCUCUUGAGAAAGCAGAUGUAAAAUGACAUCAAAUGACAAAUCUGAGGUAUUCUAUAUUGUGCUUCCUAGUAUUUGUAACAUCAAUUGACAAAUGAGGUAUUCCAGGACAUUCAGCUUCCUGCUGAUGCAAUAGGCUAUGAUGAGAAAAGUCAUGCACCACUCUGAAGAGAAUCAUCUCUUUGUGCUGAUAAACAAACUUACAACCCAUUUUACAUCUGAGCCACCUCAUGGAUACCUCUUUUUGUAUUUUUUCUUUAUUUGCUUUUCAUGCCAUAGAUGGUACUUCCUCUGUCCGUAAAUACUUGUCAUAGGAAUUAAUGUAUUAGAUCCUUUUUUAUUAAUUUGUGCGACGAGUAAUUCCGGAGGGAGUAGUUUUUAUAGUUUAGUUGGGGGAAUGAUGUACAGAACCAGAUGACGAGGGUUGCCCAAAUGCAAUCCUACCAUGAUGCGGACUGAAAUUUCAUUGAGGUCAAAUACAUUUGCUGCUGAUGGUUCUUCACAACCCCGCAUAUUUUGAAUGCCAUGCUUUUCUUGGUAAAUUGUUUUGUGAACCUUGUUGCAUUGCAUAUGAAUUACCUUGUUUUCUGUUGAUAAUUAUGUCUGCAGUGCGUGCUCUGUAGAUGCAAAGGCUAUGAUGAGAAAAGUCAUGCACCACUCUGAGGAGAUUUACCUCCUUGUGCUGAUAAACAAACUUACAACCCAUUUUACAUCUGAGCCUCCUCACAUUUUUGUAUUUUCUGAUUUAUUUAGACGUAUGUCAAAUUGGUUUUUGAGAAACCAAAUAGUUAAGGUAAUAACUGGAUUGGUGGGAUAAUAUCGGAACCAGAUGAUGAGGGUCGCCUAUUGGUGAUCCUACCAUGAUGCGGACUGAAUUAACAUUGAGGUCAAGUACAUUUGCCGCUGAUGGUUCUUUUUCCAAUCCCCCCAUAUCUUGAAUUGAUUUUCUCCUUGGUUUUUGAAUGUUGUUGUUGGCUAUGAUGAGAAAAGUCAUGCACCACUCUGAAGAGAUUUAUCUCUUUGUGCUGAUAAACAAACUUACAACCCAUUUUACUUCUGAGCCGUCUCAUGACUUUUGUAUUUUUCUGAUCUGUUUAUUGGUUUUUAGAAAAUGUUUCCAGCUUUUGCCUUUGUCAGAAUACUGUGGUUUUGAAAGAUAAGUCUUGCUGUUAACUGGAUUGGACGAAUAAUGUAGAGAACCAGAUGAUGAGGGUUGCUCUAGCGAUCCUACCAUGAUGCGGACUGAGUUACAUUGAUGUCAAAACAUUUGCCGCUGAUGGUUCAUCUUUAAUGUUUUUUGUCAUCCCUAUUUUCAGUGUUUUGGAAGGAGUGCCCUUGUAUCUGAAUUACUUAAGGUUUUGCCAAUGAUGUUUCUGUCUGCAAAAUGGAUGCUCGAGCCCCUGUUACAGGGAGAACCUCUUGAGAUAAUGACAUCAAUCGACAAGCCUGAGGCAUCCUAAAACAAGAAAACGCUUACACGCAAAUCAUGUACUUUCAGCUUUGCUUAGAUGUGGUUUCUCAAAUGUAUCUUCUUUCUCCUGAUUGCAGAAAGACAUUUCAUGUGUGAGGAGCUGCUGAACCUACCGGAUUAUAUGAAUCAUGUGGUGCUCUUUUCUGGAUGAUGAUUGUAUCCAUGUACCAAUGAUACAGAGGGAACAUUGUACUGUGAUUACAUGUGUUUUUGUAGGCUUGCCUGGUCAGGUCCCACACCUUUGGCAAGACUCCUUGUAAUUCGAGAAUUAAUGACAUGCACAUAUUUUAACUACAUCCCAUUUUUGCCUUAAAUGUGGACAUUUCAUUUGUGUCCUAACUUCAAAGUAUAUUCGGGGAUGUCCACUUCUAAUAGUUAAAAUUUUGUACCUCAAACUUAGUUUUUUUUUUUUGUAUGCAUAAUGGUAAAACUGUGUAAUUUUGUUUUAGCGUUGCACUCAGACAAAUUAACUUUGUGAUUAAAUAACAAAACAGUUGAACCCAAAACUGCUGUCUAUUUUGAACUAAAAUGCUGCCUAUUUUUGUGAUGACUUGCGAAUCCAGUAGGUUUGUUUAUGGUUUUGUGGGCUGGCGCGGGUGUGGAUAUAAAUGGUUAUGUUGGUUGGUGUGGAUAUAGAUGGUUAUGUGGGUGUGUUCAGGCGUGGCCGUGGCCGUGUUGACCCGCGAAACAGAACCCCCAAGCUGAUAAAUGAGUUCAAAUUCAAACAAUAAGAUGUGCAUAAUGAAAGUGUAGUUUUAAAAGACAAACGUAGAAAUAGAACACCCNGAAACAGCCUUUGCUGCACAAUAGGUUUACUAUUGUUUGCUGCCAAUGAUGAUUCUGUCUGCAAAAUGUAUGCUCUGUGGAUUCAAGCCCCUGUUUCAGGGAGAACCUCUUGAUGAAGCAGAUGUUAUUUGACAUUAAUUGACAAAUCUGAGACAUUGUUGAAUAUUGUUUCAUGCUGCCUAGUUAAUUUUAGUAGUACGAUUGUAUUGAUUUGAUUUCUGGUUUAGAAACAGUCUUUUGCUGCAUGAUAGCUUGAUUAUUGUUUGCUUAAGUUCUGCCAUUGAUGAUUCUGUCUGCAAAAUGUAUGGUCUGUGGAUUCAAGCCCCUGUUUCAGGGAGAACCUCUUGAUGAAGCAGAUAUAAUGUGACAUCAAUUGACAGCUCUGAGGCAAUUUAUAGCAUUGUUCUGCUUACUGCCUUGUCAUUUUAGUAGGUAGGAUGUAUUGAGGUGACUUUUGAUUUUGCAACUGUCUCUUUUACUUGAUACCUUAACCGUUGUUUGCUUAAGUUUUGACAAUGAUGAUUCUGUCUGCAAAAUAGAUGCUCUGUGGAUUCAAGCCCCUGUUUCAGGGAGAACCUCUUGAUGAAGCAGAUAUAAUAUGACAUCAGUUGACAAAUCUGAGACAAUAUUAUGAUAUAUUGCUGCUUGGUGUCUAGUGACUUUUAUUAUUCAUGGUUUUCCAAUGAUGAUUCUGUCUGCAAAAUGGAUGCCCUGUGGACUCAAGCCCCUUUUUCAGGGAGAACCUCUUGAGAAAGCAGAUGUAAAAUGACAUCAAAUGACAAAUCUGAGGUAUUCUAUAUUGUGCUUCCUAGUAUUUGUAACAUCAAUUGACAAAUGAGGUAUUCCAGGACAUUCAGCUUCCUGCUGAUGCAAUAGGCUAUGAUGAGAAAAGUCAUGCACCACUCUGAAGAGAAUCAUCUCUUUGUGCUGAUAAACAAACUUACAACCCAUUUUACAUCUGAGCCACCUCAUGGAUACCUCUUUUUGUAUUUUUUCUUUAUUUGCUUUUCAUGCCAUAGAUGGUACUUCCUCUGUCCGUAAAUACUUGUCAUAGGAAUUAAUGUAUUAGAUCCUUUUUUAUUAAUUUGUGCGACGAGUAAUUCCGGAGGGAGUAGUUUUUAUAGUUUAGUUGGGGGAAUGAUGUACAGAACCAGAUGACGAGGGUUGCCCAAAUGCAAUCCUACCAUGAUGCGGACUGAAAUUUCAUUGAGGUCAAAUACAUUUGCUGCUGAUGGUUCUUCACAACCCCGCAUAUUUUGAAUGCCAUGCUUUUCUUGGUAAAUUGUUUUGUGAACCUUGUUGCAUUGCAUAUGAAUUACCUUGUUUUCUGUUGAUAAUUAUGUCUGCAGUGCGUGCUCUGUAGAUGCAAAGGCUAUGAUGAGAAAAGUCAUGCACCACUCUGAGGAGAUUUACCUCCUUGUGCUGAUAAACAAACUUACAACCCAUUUUACAUCUGAGCCUCCUCACAUUUUUGUAUUUUCUGAUUUAUUUAGACGUAUGUCAAAUUGGUUUUUGAGAAACCAAAUAGUUAAGGUAAUAACUGGAUUGGUGGGAUAAUAUCGGAACCAGAUGAUGAGGGUCGCCUAUUGGUGAUCCUACCAUGAUGCGGACUGAAUUAACAUUGAGGUCAAGUACAUUUGCCGCUGAUGGUUCUUUUUCCAAUCCCCCCAUAUCUUGAAUUGAUUUUCUCCUUGGUUUUUGAAUGUUGUUGUUGGCUAUGAUGAGAAAAGUCAUGCACCACUCUGAAGAGAUUUAUCUCUUUGUGCUGAUAAACAAACUUACAACCCAUUUUACUUCUGAGCCGUCUCAUGACUUUUGUAUUUUUCUGAUCUGUUUAUUGGUUUUUAGAAAAUGUUUCCAGCUUUUGCCUUUGUCAGAAUACUGUGGUUUUGAAAGAUAAGUCUUGCUGUUAACUGGAUUGGACGAAUAAUGUAGAGAACCAGAUGAUGAGGGUUGCUCUAGCGAUCCUACCAUGAUGCGGACUGAGUUACAUUGAUGUCAAAACAUUUGCCGCUGAUGGUUCAUCUUUAAUGUUUUUUGUCAUCCCUAUUUUCAGUGUUUUGGAAGGAGUGCCCUUGUAUCUGAAUUACUUAAGGUUUUGCCAAUGAUGUUUCUGUCUGCAAAAUGGAUGCUCGAGCCCCUGUUACAGGGAGAACCUCUUGAGAUAAUGACAUCAAUCGACAAGCCUGAGGCAUCCUAAAACAAGAAAACGCUUACACGCAAAUCAUGUACUUUCAGCUUUGCUUAGAUGUGGUUUCUCAAAUGUAUCUUCUUUCUCCUGAUUGCAGAAAGACAUUUCAUGUGUGAGGAGCUGCUGAACCUACCGGAUUAUAUGAAUCAUGUGGUGCUCUUUUCUGGAUGAUGAUUGUAUCCAUGUACCAAUGAUACAGAGGGAACAUUGUACUGUGAUUACAUGUGUUUUUGUAGGCUUGCCUGGUCAGGUCCCACACCUUUGGCAAGACUCCUUGUAAUUCGAGAAUUAAUGACAUGCACAUAUUUUAACUACAUCCCAUUUUUGCCUUAAAUGUGGACAUUUCAUUUGUGUCCUAACUUCAAAGUAUAUUCGGGGAUGUCCACUUCUAAUAGUUAAAAUUUUGUACCUCAAACUUAGUUUUUUUUUUUUGUAUGCAUAAUGGUAAAACUG
Molecule: long non-coding RNA, 9104 nt
Filed under: Hordeum vulgare
Lineage: Eukaryota; Viridiplantae; Streptophyta; Magnoliopsida; Poales; Poaceae
Description: long non-coding RNA (HVUL_LNC005873)
Rfam family: Small nucleolar RNA Z221/R21b (bases 345-436)
Source: RNAcentral